UGAUAGUACCAGAAGAGGAAGAGACGGCUAACUCUGUGCCAGCAGCCGCGGCAAUACAGAGGUCUCAAGCGUUGUUCGGAUUCAUUGGGCGUAAAGGGUGCGUAGGUGGCGAGGUUAGUCAGGUGUGAAAUCUCGGGGCUCAACCCCGAAACUGCACUUGAUACUGCCUUGCUAGAGUACUGGAGAGGAGAUUGGAAUUUACGGUGUAGCAGUGAAAUGCGUAGAUAUCGUAGGGAAGACCAGUGGCGAAGGCGAAUCUCUGGACAGUUACUGACACUGAGGCACGAAGGCCAGGGGAGCAAACGGGAUUAGAUACCCCGGUAGUCCUGGCAGUAAACGGUGCGCGUUUGGUGUGGGAGGAUUCGACCUCUUCUGUGCCGGAGCUAACGCGUUAAACGCGCCGCCUGGGGAGUACGGUCGCAAGAUUAAAACUCAAAGAAAUUGACGGGGGCCCGCACAAGCGGUGGAGUAUGUGGCUUAAUUCGAUGCAACGCGAAGAACCUUACCUAGCCUUGACAUGCAUCUCUAAGUCGGUGAAAGCCGGCGACUGUAGCAAUACAGAAUUUGCACAGGUGCUGCAUGGCUGUCGUCAGCUCGUGUCGU
This 603-nucleotide ribosomal RNA is filed under the name uncultured Verrucomicrobiota bacterium. RNAcentral's name for it is "bacterial SSU rRNA". It matches the Rfam family "Bacterial small subunit ribosomal RNA", at positions 470 to 1068 of the family's 1533-position model. Lineage: Bacteria; Pseudomonadati; Verrucomicrobiota. The record is from RNAcentral.